This 71-nucleotide transfer RNA is filed under the name Ictidomys tridecemlineatus (thirteen-lined ground squirrel). RNAcentral describes it as "Spermophilus tridecemlineatus (thirteen-lined ground squirrel) tRNA". It matches the Rfam family "tRNA". From Rfam's summary of the family: Transfer RNA (tRNA) molecules are approximately 80 nucleotides in length. Lineage: Eukaryota; Metazoa; Chordata; Mammalia; Rodentia; Sciuridae. The record is from Rfam by way of RNAcentral.
AGGGGUAUAGCUCAGUUGUAGAGCAUAGGCCUAGUAUGUGUGAGGCCUGGGUUUAUUUCCCAGUACUGCAA